UACGUAGGGGGCAAGCGUUGUCCGGAUUUAUUGGGCGUAAAGAGCGUGUAGGCGGCCUGGAAGGUCAGCUGUGAAAACUCGAGGCUCAACCUCGAGACGUCGGUUGAAACCAUCUGGCUAGAGUCCGGAAGAGGAGAGUGGAAUUCCUGGUGUAGCGGUGAAAUGCGCAGAUAUCAGGAAGAACACCCGUGGCUAAGGCGGCUCUCUAGUACGGUACUGACGCUGAGACGCGAAAGCGUGGGGAGCGAACAGG
Molecule: ribosomal RNA, 253 nt
Filed under: uncultured bacterium
Lineage: Bacteria
Description: partial 16S ribosomal RNA
Rfam family: Bacterial small subunit ribosomal RNA
Source: RNAcentral